RNAcentral lists this ribosomal RNA (472 nucleotides) under uncultured Sphingobacteriales bacterium. RNAcentral describes it as "bacterial SSU rRNA". It matches the Rfam family "Bacterial small subunit ribosomal RNA", at positions 906 to 1382 of the family's 1533-position model. Lineage: Bacteria; Pseudomonadati; Bacteroidota; Sphingobacteriia; Sphingobacteriales. The record is from RNAcentral.
GGAAUUGAGGGGCCCGCACAAGCGUGGAGCAUGUGGUUUAAUUCGAUGAUACGCGAGGAACCUUACCUGGGCUCAAAUGUAUGUUGACGUAUUCUGAAAGGGAUACUUCUUCGGACAAUAUACAAGGUGCUGCAUGGUUGUCGUCAGCUCGUGCCGUGAGGUGUCGGGUUAAGUCCCAUAACGAGCGCAACCCCUAUCAUUAGUUGCCAUCAGGUCAAGCUGGGGACUCUAAUGAAACUGCCUACGCAAGUAGUGAGGAAGGUGGGGAUGACGUCAAAUCAGCACGGCCCUUACGUCCAGGGCUACACACGUGCUACAAUGGCCGGCACAACGGGAAGCGAGUUCGCGAGGACGAGCGGAUCCCUCAAAGCCGGUCGCAGUUCGGAUUGAAGUCUGCAACUCGACUUCAUGAAGCUGGAAUCGCUAGUAAUCGUGGAUCAGCCAAGCCGCGGUGAAUACGUUCCCGGGCCUU